CCUAUAGUUUCUGCCCUUGUCUCUGCCUCCAGCUCCUUAAGAGCCACCCAGCCCCAGCGAUUGGAUUGGGCAGCCCGUCUUGACACACCACUGUGCUGAGUGCUUGAGGACGUGUUUCAACAGAUGGUUGGGGUUAGUGUGUGUCAUCACACUCGAGUGGGGAUUAGGGGAGAGAGGCAGCCUUGCUGGAGCUGUGUGGUCUUCCCCAAGUGUGAGCUGCAAGCAAAAGAAGAACCACCUAGCUUUGGGGGAGAAGAGGGAGGAACCGUUUCCAGCAGCUCAGAGGGAAAAAUAAAACCCCACACUUUGUCCAGAUCUUCACACUAACUCUCACAUACCUGUGGUGCUUAUGAAUUAUUGGCCUCCUACUUGUGAAAGAAAUCUAACACUGUCCUCACCAUUUACAG
This is a long non-coding RNA of Tyto alba (common barn owl), 407 nucleotides long. RefSeq lists it as uncharacterized. The record is from RefSeq and is a predicted model, not a curated record. The transcript has 2 exons. Lineage: Eukaryota; Metazoa; Chordata; Aves; Strigiformes; Tytonidae.